GGCCCCGUAGUUCAAUGGAUAGNNGGAUAGAACGGAAGUUUCCUAAACUUUAAAUAUAGGUUCGAUUCCUAUCGGGGCUACCU
RNAcentral lists this transfer RNA (83 nucleotides) under Bacteroidales bacterium. Its description in RNAcentral is "tRNA-Arg". It matches the Rfam family "tRNA". Rfam says of the family: Transfer RNA (tRNA) molecules are approximately 80 nucleotides in length. Their secondary structure includes four short double-helical elements and three loops (D, anti-codon, and T loops). Lineage: Bacteria; Pseudomonadati; Bacteroidota; Bacteroidia; Bacteroidales. The record is from RNAcentral.